This 23-nucleotide small nuclear RNA is filed under the name Arabidopsis thaliana (thale cress). Its description in RNAcentral is "snRNA_09354". The record is from RNAcentral. Lineage: Eukaryota; Viridiplantae; Streptophyta; Magnoliopsida; Brassicales; Brassicaceae.
GUUCUACCCAAACUCGAAUGGGU